UUGCGGUUAAAAAGCUCGUAGUUGGAUCUCGGCAAGUAGAGGGCGGUAUGCUUCGUAGCAUUACUGCCCUAUUACUUGUAGUUUUGCCAGAGGUUCCUGGGUGCUCUUAAUCGAGUGUCUAGGGAUGCUGGCAGGUUUACUUUGAAAAAAUUAGAGUGCUCAAAGCAGGCUAUUACGCUUGAAUAUUCGUGCAUGGAAUAAUAGAAUAGGAAGUUGUUUCUAUUUUGUUGGUUUUCGGAAAUCGACUUAAUGAUUAAUAGGGACAGUCGGGGGCAUUUGUAUUCAAACGACAGAGGUGAAAUUCUUGGACCGUUUGAAGACAAACUACUGCGAAAGCAUUUGCCAAGAAUGUUUUCAUUAAUCAAGAACGAAAGUUAGAGGUUCGAAGGCGAUUAGAUACCGCCCUAGUUCUAACCAUAAACGAUGCCAGAUAGCGAUCUGAGGACGUUUUUUUUGUAGACUCCUCAGGAAGCUUCCGGGAAACCAAAGCGUGUGGGUUCCGGGGGAAGUAUGGUUGCAAAGCUGAAACUUAAAGGAAUUGACGGAAGGGCACCACCAGGAGUGGAGCCUGCGGCUUAAUUUGACUCAACACGGGAAAUCUCACCAGGCCCGGACCCUGGAAGGAUUGACAGAUUGAGAGCU
This 642-nucleotide ribosomal RNA is filed under the name uncultured marine eukaryote. RNAcentral's name for it is "SSU rRNA". It matches the Rfam family "Eukaryotic small subunit ribosomal RNA", at positions 613 to 1256 of the family's 1831-position model. The record is from RNAcentral.